AGCAGCCGCGGUAAUUCCAGCUCCAAUAGCGUAUAUUAAAGUUGUUGCAGUUAAAAAGCUCGUAGUUGAAUUUCGGGAUUCUACCGUUGGUCGGGCUAUCCAGUCUGUACUAGUGUGUAGAAUUUCUACCUUCUGGGGAACCACCAUGUUAUUAAUUUAGCGUGAUGGGAAACCAGGACCUUUACCUUGAAAAAAUUAGAGUGUUCAAAGCAGGCUUACGUCUGAAUACAUUAGCAUGGAAUAAUAAAAUAGGACGGUGGUCCUGUUUUGUUGGUUUCUGAAUCACCGUAAUGAUUAAUAGGGAUAGUUGGGGGCAUUAGUAUUCAAUUGUCAGAGGUGAAAUUCUUGGAUUUAUUGAAGACUAACUUCUGCGAAAGCAUUUGCCAAGGAUGUUUUCAUUAAUCAAGAACGAAAGUUAGGGAAUCGAAGACGAUCAGAUACCGUCGUAGUCUUAACCAUAAACUAUGCCGACUAGGGAUCGGAACGAUGUUAAAUAUUAUUGACUUGUCGCGCCUUACGG
Molecule: ribosomal RNA, 520 nt
Filed under: uncultured Scutellospora
Lineage: Eukaryota; Fungi; Glomeromycota; Glomeromycetes; Diversisporales; Gigasporaceae
Description: SSU rRNA
Rfam family: Eukaryotic small subunit ribosomal RNA
Source: RNAcentral